GAUGAACGCUGGCGGCGUGCCUAAUACAUGCAAGUCGAGCGAACGGACGAGAAGCUUGCUUCUCUGAUGUUAGCGGCGGACGGGUGAGUAACACGUGGAUAACCUACCUAUAAGACUGGGAUAACUUCGGGAAACCGGAGCUAAUACCGGAUAAUAUUUUGAACCGCAUGGUUCAAAAGUGAAAGACGGUCUUGCUGUCACUUAUAGAUGGAUCCGCGCUGCAUUAGCUAGUUGGUAAGGUAACGGCUUACCAAGGCAACGAUGCAUAGCCGACCUGAGAGGGGGAUAGGCCACACUGGAACUGAGACACGGUCCAGACUCGUACGGGAGGCAGCAGUAGGGAAUCUUAAGCAAUGGGCGAAAGCCUGACGGAGCAACGACGCGUGAGUGAUGAAGGUCUUCGGAUCGUAAAACUCUGUUAUUAGGGAAGAACAAAUGUGUAAGGAACUAUGCACGUCGUGACGGUACCUAAUCAGAAAGCAACGGCUAACUACGUG
RNAcentral lists this ribosomal RNA (497 nucleotides) under uncultured bacterium. Its description in RNAcentral is "partial 16S ribosomal RNA". It matches the Rfam family "Bacterial small subunit ribosomal RNA", at positions 28 to 507 of the family's 1533-position model. The record is from RNAcentral.